CCUACGGGGAGCUGCAGUGGGGAAUAUUGGACAAUGGGCGAAAGCCUGAUCCAGCCAUGCCGCGUGUGUGAAGAAGGCCUUCGGGUUGUAAAGCACUUUCAGUGGGGAAGAAAGCCUUGGGGCUAAUACCCUCGAGGAAGGACAUCACCCACAGAAGAAGCACCGGCUAACUCCGUGCCAGCAGCCGCGGUAAUACGGAGGGUGCGAGCGUUAAUCGGAAUUACUGGGCGUAAAGCGCGCGUAGGCGGUCUGAUAAGCCGGUUGUGAAAGCCCCGGGCUCAACCUGGGAACGGCAUCCGGAACUGUCAGGCUAGAGUGCAGGAGAGGAAGGUAGAAUUCGCGGUGUAGCGGUGAAAUGCGUAGAGAUCGGGAGGAAUACCAGUGGCGAAGGCGGCCUGCUGGACUGACACUGACGCUGAGGUGCGAAAGCGUGGGUAGCAAACAGGAUUAGAUACCCGAGUAGUC
This 465-nucleotide ribosomal RNA is filed under the name Vreelandella stevensii. RNAcentral's name for it is "partial 16S ribosomal RNA". It matches the Rfam family "Bacterial small subunit ribosomal RNA", at positions 338 to 795 of the family's 1533-position model. Lineage: Bacteria; Pseudomonadati; Pseudomonadota; Gammaproteobacteria; Oceanospirillales; Halomonadaceae. The record is from RNAcentral.